RNAcentral lists this ribosomal RNA (250 nucleotides) under uncultured prokaryote. RNAcentral describes it as "partial 16S ribosomal RNA". It matches the Rfam family "Bacterial small subunit ribosomal RNA", at positions 524 to 773 of the family's 1533-position model. The record is from RNAcentral.
UACGUAGGGGGCAAGCGUUAUCCGGAUUUACUGGGUGUAAAGGGAGCGUAGACGGAGAAGCAAGUCUGAGGUGAAAUCCCCGGGCUCAACCCGGGAACUGCUUUGGAAACUGUUUUUCUUGAGUGUCGGAGAGGUAAGCGGAAUUCCUGGUGUAGUAGUGAAAUGCGUAGAUAUCAGGAGGAACACCGGAGGCGAAGGCGGCUUACUGGACGAUAACUGGCGUUGAGGCUCGAAAGCGUGGGGAGCAAAC